GAUGAACGCUAGCGGCAGGCCUAACACAUGCAAGUCGAGGGGUAGAAGGGGCUUGCUCCUUUGAGACCGGCGCACGGGUGCGUAACGCGUAUGCAAUCUACCUUGUACAGGGGAAUAGCCCAGAGAAAUUUGGAUUAAUGCCCCAUAGUAUAUAACCUUCGCAUGUUGGUUAUAUUAAAGUUCCAACGGUACAAGAUGAGCAUGCGUCCCAUUAGUUAGUUGGUAAGGUAACGGCUUACCAAGACGAUGAUGGGUAGGGGUCCUGAGAGGGAGAUCCCCCACACUGGUACUGAGACACGGACCAGACUCCUACGGGAGGCAGCAGUGAGGAAUAUUGGUCAAUGGUCGCAAGACUGAACCAGCCAUGCCGCGUGCAGGAAGACGGUCCUAUGGAUUGUAAACUGCUUUUAUACAGGAAGAAACCCUCCCACGUGUGGGAGCUUGACGGUACUGUAGGAAUAAGGAUCGGCUAACUCCGUG
Molecule: ribosomal RNA, 480 nt
Filed under: uncultured bacterium
Lineage: Bacteria
Description: partial 16S ribosomal RNA
Rfam family: Bacterial small subunit ribosomal RNA
Source: RNAcentral